UGCAAGUCGAGCGGACAGAUGGGAGCUUGCUCCCUGAUGUUAGCGGCGGACGGGUGAGUAACACGUGGGUAACCUGCCUGUAAGACUGGGAUAACUCCGGGAAACCGGGGCUAAUACCGGAUGGUUGUUUGAACCGCAUGGUUCAAACAUAAAAGGUGGCUUCGGCUACCACUUACAGAUGGACCCGCGGCGCAUUAGCUAGUUGGUGAGGUAACGGCUCACCAAGGCAACGAUGCGUAGCCGACCUGAGAGGGUGAUCGGCCACACUGGGACUGAGACACGGCCCAGACUCCUACGGGAGGCAGCAGUAGGGAAUCUUCCGCAAUGGACGAAAGUCUGACGGAGCAACGCCGCGUGAGUGAUGAAGGUUUUCGGAUCGUAAAGCUCUGUUGUUAGGGAAGAACAAGUACCGUUCGAAUAGGGCGGUACCUUGACGGUACCUAACCAGAAAGCCACGGCUAACUACGUGCCAGCAGCCGCGGUAAUACGUAGGUGGCAAGCGUUGUCCGGAAUUAUUGGGCGUAAAGGGCUCGCAGGCGGUUUCUUAAGUCUGAUGUGAAAGCCCCCGGCUCAACCGGGGAGGGUCAUUGGAAACUGGGGAACUUGAGUGCAGAAGAGGAGAGUGGAAUUCCACGUGUAGCGGUGAAAUGCGUAGAGAUGUGGAGGAACACCAGUGGCGAAGGCGACUCUCUGGUCUGUAACUGACGCUGAGGAGCGAAAGCGUGGGGAGCGAACAGGAUUAGAUACCCUGGUAGUCCACGCCGUAAACGAUGAGUGCUAAGUGUUAGGGGGUUUCCGCCCCUUAGUGCUGCAGCUAACGCAUUAAGCACUCCGCC
This 836-nucleotide ribosomal RNA is filed under the name Bacillus subtilis. RNAcentral's name for it is "bacterial SSU rRNA". It matches the Rfam family "Bacterial small subunit ribosomal RNA", at positions 56 to 873 of the family's 1533-position model. The record is from RNAcentral. Lineage: Bacteria; Bacillati; Bacillota; Bacilli; Caryophanales; Bacillaceae.